GCAAGUCGAGCGGACAGAUGGGAGCUUGCUCCCUGAUGUUAGCGGCGGACGGGUGAGUAACACGUGGGUAACCUGCCUGUAAGACUGGGAUAACUCCGGGAAACCGGGGCUAAUACCGGAUGCUUGUUUGAACCGCAUGGUUCAGACAUAAAAGGUGGCUUCGGCUACCACUUACAGAUGGACCCGCGGCGCAUUAGCUAGUUGGUGAGGUAACGGCUCACCAAGGCGACGAUGCGUAGCCGACCUGAGAGGGUGAUCGGCCACACUGGGACUGAGACACGGCCCAGACUCCUACGGGAGGCAGCAGUAGGGAAUCUUCCGCAAUGGACGAAAGUCUGACGGAGCAACGCCGCGUGAGUGAUGAAGGUUUUCGGAUCGUAAAGCUCUGUUGUUAGGGAAGAACAAGUGCCGUUCAAAUAGGGCGGCACCUUGACGGUACCUAACCAGAAAGCCACGGCUAACUACGUGCCAGCAGCCGCGGUAAUACGUAGGUGGCAAGCGUUGUCCGGAAUUAUUGGGCGUAAAGGGCUCGCAGGCGGUUUCUUAAGUCUGAUGUGAAAGCCCCCGGCUCAACCGGGGAGGGUCAUUGGAAACUGGGGAACUUGAGUGCAGAAGAGGAGAGUGGAAUUCCACGUGUAGCGGUGAAAUGCGUAGAGAUGUGGAGGAACACCAGUGGCGAAGGCGACUCUCUGGUCUGUAACUGACGCUGAGGAGCGAAAGCGUGCGGAGCGAACAGGAUUAGAUACCCUGGUAGUCCACGCCGUAUACGAUGAGUGCUAAGUGU
RNAcentral lists this ribosomal RNA (784 nucleotides) under Bacillus amyloliquefaciens. RNAcentral's name for it is "bacterial SSU rRNA". It matches the Rfam family "Bacterial small subunit ribosomal RNA", at positions 57 to 823 of the family's 1533-position model. The record is from RNAcentral. Lineage: Bacteria; Bacillati; Bacillota; Bacilli; Caryophanales; Bacillaceae.